RNAcentral lists this transfer RNA (60 nucleotides) under Dipodomys ordii (Ord's kangaroo rat). It matches the Rfam family "tRNA", at positions 7 to 64 of the family's 71-position model. Rfam says of the family: Transfer RNA (tRNA) molecules are approximately 80 nucleotides in length. Lineage: Eukaryota; Metazoa; Chordata; Mammalia; Rodentia; Heteromyidae. The record is from Rfam by way of RNAcentral.
GUGGCUCAGUGGUAGAGUGCUUGCCUAGCAGGCAUGAGGCCCUGGGUUCGAUUCCUCAGC